This 442-nucleotide ribosomal RNA is filed under the name uncultured bacterium. RNAcentral describes it as "partial 16S ribosomal RNA". It matches the Rfam family "Bacterial small subunit ribosomal RNA", at positions 338 to 795 of the family's 1533-position model. The record is from RNAcentral.
CCUACGGGAGGCAGCAGUGGGGGAUAUUGGACAAUGAGGGGAACCCUGAUCCAGCGACGCCGCGUGAGUGAAGAAGUAUUUCGGUAUGUAAAGCUCUGUCAGCAGGGAAGAAAGCAAUGACGGUACCUGACCAAGAAGCCCCGGCUAACUACGUGCAAGCAGCCGCGGUAAUACGUAGGAGGCACGGGUGAUCCGGAAUUGCUGGGAGAAAAGGGGGCGUAGACGGCUGUGAAAGUCUGCGGUAAAAGGCGGGGACCAACCCCCGGACUGCUAUGGAAACUGGAUGGCUGGAGUGCAGGAGAGGUAAGCGGAAUUCCUAGUGUAGCGGUGAAAUGCGUAGAUAUUAGGAGGAACACCAGUGGCGAAGGCGGCUUACUGGACUGUAACUGACGGUGAGGCUCGAAAGCGUGGGGAGCAAACAGGAUUAGAUACCCGGGUAGUC